UACGGAGGGUGCAAGCGUUAAUCGGAAUUACUGGGCGUAAAGCGUGCGUAGGCGGAUUAUUAAGUCAGAUGUGAAAUCCCGGGGCUCAACCUCGGAACUGCAUUUGAAACUGGUAGUCUAGAGUAUUGUAGAGGGUGGUGGAAUUUCCAGUGUAGCGGUGAAAUGCGUAGAGAUUGGAAGGAACAUCAGUAGCGAAGGCGGCCACCUGGACAAAUACUGACGCUGAGGCACGAAAGCGUGGGGAGCGAACAGG
RNAcentral lists this ribosomal RNA (253 nucleotides) under uncultured bacterium. RNAcentral describes it as "partial 16S ribosomal RNA". It matches the Rfam family "Bacterial small subunit ribosomal RNA", at positions 524 to 776 of the family's 1533-position model. The record is from RNAcentral.